AUGCCUUGUGGAGCCUCUCAGGUGACCCCAUGGCUCUGAUCACGUUGGGGAGGCCACGCAAUCCCACGCUUCUGGUGGCAGAGUUGCAAAAAAAAAGGCCACAGAAAAGGGAAAUAAAAUUACUUGAGUUAUUUCUCAGCCCAUCUGCAUCACUCCCUGCUUGCAGAAGAACUCCCUAAUGUCAGCAUCCAGCAGAUGUGCAUGGUGUGGGCAUGCCCAAGAAGAGAUUCCUCCCAGCACUGCAGGGCUGUGGAGCAGCAGAGCUGGGUCACCUGGGCUGCUCCUGGCUCUCUGUGGGGUGUGAGCAGUACUACAGCAUCUCCCACUACAGCAUCUCCCACACGGUGCGGUGGGGAAGGAUGGCCGGGGCUGGGUGAUGGUGAGCAGCAUCUGAGUCAUCGCUAACAGUUCCUACCACUGUGCCACCUUGGGGUUGAGGCUGAGAUUUUUGCAGCAAUCCUCUGGUUUGGUCUGACCCCUGGGCUGCGCCGAUUCACCGUUUGCUCUGAGCCACGUGGCAGGGAAGGCGAGCUCUCUGGGAAAGAAAAGUUAGCGAUAAAAGGGAGCAGCACAGCAAGGUGUUUGCAACACGGAAAGAACCUCACUCUCUCGGAUGAAAGGCCAGCUUCAGGUGGAUGAGCUCCCAGCCUGGUUCCUGGGGAAGCUUGUGAGAACAGACAGCAACCUCGGUGUCAGUGCUGCAUGGAGCUGCCCUGAGUGCUGCCCAACGUGUACAGCUGUCAUCCUGCCUUGCUGCAGGCAUCAGCCCAGGUGCAUAAAUCCCAUGGAGAGAGGGAAUGGGAUGCCAUUCACCUCGAGUCAGCUGAUGAAUUGAAUAAGGGAAUGCCCCUUCCAAUCACCAGCAGUGACCACAAAAAGGCAGAGGCUGGCUGUUCCAGCCCUGGCAUGCCAAGUAAUAAUGCAUUAUUACACCCCUGCUUCACUUCGCUCUCAACACUUGCUUUUCUUCCUUGAACCAAGUGCUACCUUGUGGCCAUCAGUGGAUUUUAAGUUAACCCUGCCAUCACCUGAAAGGCAAAACCUACCAUGGAAUUAAUAUGAGUUCACUUGGCAGAUGAGGCAAAUACAGAAGCCGUUGUAAGAGUUUGGAGUAAUUGUCUUUUAAAUAUCUACAUAUCUAUAAUAUAUACUCGUAUGCGUGCACAAAUGUGUGCAUGUAGGCAGACGUGGCAAAUGUGUAUAUAUGCAUGCGUGUGUAGAGACGAGGGGAGGGGGUAUUUUGUACAAAAGGCAAAGGUGUAGAAUUUGAGGGUUGCCAUGGAUACAGGUCAGAUGCCUUUGUUCUCGCAUUGUGGUGUAGCUUAGGGAGAUGAGAGAUGCACCAGCUACAGAGAGAGAUGAGGGAAGAAUUUUAAAAAAAAUAAAUUGGUACGUGAAGGAAAAUAUCCA
This 1410-nucleotide long non-coding RNA is filed under the name Phasianus colchicus (ring-necked pheasant). RNAcentral's name for it is "lncRNA (ENSPCLG00000008282.1)". Lineage: Eukaryota; Metazoa; Chordata; Aves; Galliformes; Phasianidae. The record is from RNAcentral.